RNAcentral lists this ribosomal RNA (2916 nucleotides) under Vibrio parahaemolyticus. RNAcentral's name for it is "23S ribosomal RNA". It matches the Rfam family "Bacterial large subunit ribosomal RNA". Lineage: Bacteria; Pseudomonadati; Pseudomonadota; Gammaproteobacteria; Vibrionales; Vibrionaceae. The record is from RNAcentral.
GUUGUAUGGUUAAGUGACUAAGCGUACACGGUGGAUGCCUUGGCAGUCAGAGGCGAUGAAAGACGUAGUAACUUGCGAUAAGCCCAGAUUAGGUAGUAACAACCAUUUGAGUCUGGGAUUUCUGAAUGGGGAAACCCACGUGCAUAAGCACGUAUCCUUACCUGAAUACAUAGGGUAAGGAGGCGAACCGGGGGAACUGAAACAUCUAAGUACCCCGAGGAAAAGAAAUCAACCGAGAUUCCGAAAGUAGCGGCGAGCGAAAUUGGACUAGCCCUUAAGCUUUACACGCGUUAGACGAACGGUCUGGAAAGUCCGACGAUACAGGGUGAUAGUCCCGUAGUUGACGACGUGUGUUCAGUGAAAUCGAGUAGGGCGGGACACGUGAUAUCCUGUCUGAAUAUGGGGGGACCAUCCUCCAAGGCUAAAUACUACUGACUGACCGAUAGUGAACCAGUACCGUGAGGGAAAGGCGAAAAGAACCCCUGUGAGGGGAGUGAAAUAGAACCUGAAACCGUGUACGUACAAGCAGUAGGAGCAGGCUUUGUCCUGUGACUGCGUACCUUUUGUAUAAUGGGUCAGCGACUUAUAUUCAGUGGCAAGGUUAACCAUCUAGGGGAGCCGUAGGGAAACCGAGUCUUAACUGGGCGUUCAGUCUCUGGAUAUAGACCCGAAACCAGGUGAUCUAGCCAUGGGCAGGUUGAAGGUUGAGUAACAUCAACUGGAGGACCGAACCGACUAAUGUUGAAAAAUUAGCGGAUGACUUGUGGCUAGGGGUGAAAGGCCAAUCAAACCUGGAGAUAGCUGGUUCUCCCCGAAAGCUAUUUAGGUAGCGCCUCGGACGAAUACUACUGGGGGUAGAGCACUGUUAAGGCUAGGGGGUCAUCCCGACUUACCAACCCUUUGCAAACUCCGAAUACCAGUAAGUACUAUCCGGGAGACACACGGCGGGUGCUAACGUCCGUCGUGGAGAGGGAAACAACCCAGACCGCCAGCUAAGGUCCCAAAUUACUACUAAGUGGGAAACGAUGUGGGAAGGCUCAGACAGCCAGGAUGUUGGCUUAGAAGCAGCCAUCAUUUAAAGAAAGCGUAAUAGCUCACUGGUCGAGUCGGCCUGCGCGGAAGAUGUAACGGGGCUAAGUAGUAAACCGAAGCUGCGGCAAUGUGCUUUUGCACAUUGGGUAGGGGAGCGUUCUGUAAGCGGUUGAAGGUGUGUGGUAACGCAUGCUGGACGUAUCAGAAGUGCGAAUGCUGACAUGAGUAACGAUAAAGGGGGUGAAAAACCUCCUCGCCGGAAGACCAAGGGUUCCUGUCCAACGUUAAUCGGGGCAGGGUAAGUCGACCCCUAAGGCGAGGCCGAAAGGCGUAGUCGAUGGGAAACGGGUUAAUAUUCCCGUACUUCUUACAAUUGCGAUGGGGGGACGGAGAAGGCUAGGUGGGCCUGGCGACGGUUGUCCAGGUUCAAGUGCGUAGGCUUGAGAGUUAGGUAAAUCCGGCUCUUUUUAAGGCUGAGACACGACGUCGAGCACCUACGGGUGUGAAGUCAUUGAUGCCAUGCUUCCAGGAAAAGCCUCUAAGCUUCAGAUUGUAAGGAAUCGUACCCCAAACCGACACAGGUGGUCGGGUAGAGAAUACCAAGGCGCUUGAGAGAACUCGGGUGAAGGAACUAGGCAAAAUGGUACCGUAACUUCGGGAGAAGGUACGCUCUCGACGGUGAAGUCCCUCGCGGAUGGAGCUAUUGAGAGUCGCAGAUACCAGGUGGCUGCAACUGUUUAUUAAAAACACAGCACUGUGCAAAAUCGUAAGAUGACGUAUACGGUGUGACGCCUGCCCGGUGCCGGAAGGUUAAUUGAUGGGGUUAGACUUCGGUCGAAGCUCUUGAUCGAAGCCCCGGUAAACGGCGGCCGUAACUAUAACGGUCCUAAGGUAGCGAAAUUCCUUGUCGGGUAAGUUCCGACCUGCACGAAUGGCGUAAUGAUGGCCACGCUGUCUCCACCCGAGACUCAGUGAAAUUGAAAUCGCUGUGAAGAUGCAGUGUACCCGCGGCUAGACGGAAAGACCCCGUGAACCUUUACUACAGCUUGGCACUGAACAUUGACCCUACAUGUGUAGGAUAGGUGGGAGGCUUUGAAGCACGUACGCCAGUAUGUGUGGAGCCGUCCUUGAAAUACCACCCUUGUAGUGUUGAUGUUCUAACGUCGACCCCUUAUCGGGGUUGCGGACAGUGCCUGGUGGGUAGUUUGACUGGGGCGGUCUCCUCCCAAAGAGUAACGGAGGAGCACGAAGGUGGGCUAAUCACGGUUGGACAUCGUGAGGUUAGUGCAAUGGCAUAAGCCCGCUUGACUGCGAGAAUGACAAUUCGAGCAGGUGCGAAAGCAGGUCAUAGUGAUCCGGUGGUUCUGAAUGGAAGGGCCAUCGCUCAACGGAUAAAAGGUACUCCGGGGAUAACAGGCUGAUACCGCCCAAGAGUUCAUAUCGACGGCGGUGUUUGGCACCUCGAUGUCGGCUCAUCACAUCCUGGGGCUGAAGUCGGUCCCAAGGGUAUGGCUGUUCGCCAUUUAAAGUGGUACGCGAGCUGGGUUUAGAACGUCGUGAGACAGUUCGGUCCCUAUCUGCCGUGGGCGUUGGAAGAUUGAAGGGGGCUGCUCCUAGUACGAGAGGACCGGAGUGGACGAACCUCUGGUGUUCGGGUUGUGUCGCCAGACGCAUUGCCCGGUAGCUAAGUUCGGAAUCGAUAACCGCUGAAAGCAUCUAAGCGGGAAGCGAGCCCUGAGAUGAGUCUUCCCUGAUACUUUAAGUAUCCUAAAGGGUUGUCGGAGACUACGACGUUGAUAGGUCAGGUGUGUAAGUGCUGUGAGGCAUUGAGCUAACUGAUACUAAUUGCCCGUGAGGCUUAACCAUACAACACCUAAGGGGUUU